Syngnathus typhle (broad-nosed pipefish) is the source of this 1909-nucleotide long non-coding RNA. RefSeq lists it as uncharacterized. Lineage: Eukaryota; Metazoa; Chordata; Actinopteri; Syngnathiformes; Syngnathidae. The record is from RefSeq and is a predicted model, not a curated record. The transcript has 6 exons.
GCCGAAGGCUGUGGAGUAUUUGUUGACCCCACUCAGAAGGCUCUCCAACGCAGACCAGUUCAUGGCCGCUACCUCAACGAGUCAAGUGAGGAAGUUCUCGUGGGUUGAACCUGAGUGCCGAAAACGAAAGUAGGGCACAAUCUUCUCUGAAUCUUGAGCCACUUGAGCACGACGUGAACCCAAGUGUGGAGAUUUCUGCUCCACUUCGGUUUGCCCGGCACAAUGCUCUUGACGGCGUGAGACUGCAGGCUGGCUCAGUGAAGCUCAGAUUCUCCCCCCCCCUCCCUUCCCUGCAUGGAGACUCCCCGAUCUCACUGUGAUUUUCUAGUGGUAAGAUACAAGGGAAAGAAAAAUGACUCCACAGUAUUGACAUCUCAGCUUUUGGCAGAGGAUAAAGAAGAUAUGACUAGUGAGGAGCAGUUCUGCCAAUUUAUAGAACCAGACAGGAACCUGAGAUUGAAACCCUUCUGAGGUCGAGACAAAAACAGAGAGCUGGAUGAAUGAACUUGUCUUGUCGUUGCUUCCUGGAGGUUGGAGCCACCCGGAUAAACCGCCGCAGGACUGGUAAGGUGAGCUUCCCGCUGCUCGCGCAGUCAGCCCUCCCCAUAGGCAACUAAACGUGAACAUCUUUUCCAGUGACCUUUUGAUAAGUCGAAAAUAUUGCAGUGAUGAGGCAUUGGCCGGCAUGUUAACCUUCAAAUUCACACAAAAGACUCGUCUGGAAACACGCAAACUUCUGAGUGGGGAAAUCAUUUCGUGUUUCGUGCUAGCUCUGAUAUUUUUUCUGCAUAUAUUUUGUGAUCUGUGUGACAUUAACGGAACUGAGAUGUGCCUCAUUGACAUUCAUGUAUUCAUUUGAUGUCACACUGUCAAAAAAAAUUGAAAACACUUGAGGGUAAAGGCAGGCAGAAAAGUGCGAGAAAUGAAAGGAUGGCGGAUUAUUGAUUGAUUAUCCUCACCGAUGCCGAUUCGCUUUGUAGUGUUAUCCUGCAGCCACUUGUGCACAUGUCUGUGGGAGUGAUUAGCUCAAUGUGUACACUCUUGUGAGUCCCUCCCUGCCUGCGGUGUGUGUUUGUGCAUGGAUGACAGAGUAAGAAAGAGCUCAUAAAUAUCCAUGUGUGUGUGCGUGGCAACACAACACUGCAUGCUGCAUCACUGACAUUCAAAUAAAACAUAAUACAUGAUUACAUGUGGAAAAAUAUGGUCCUUUUACGGUGUCACUUUUAUAGAUGGUGAAAAAUAGGACUAGCCUGUUUGCACUUACUCAAUAUGAGUUAAAAACAAUUUUGUUUUUUUGUGUGUAUGCUGUUGUUGACCUGACAGUAAAUUGUAUAUUGCAUCAUCGUUAGCGCUUUUUAUUUAGCAGCUCUCGUGAGCUAAGCACUGUGACCAAAAGGCCAAUGCAAGGGCACUGCGUGAAAGAGUUGCAAAGAGGGUCAGCGGUUCUCCAGAUGAGAAGAUGGUUUUUAAAAACACCUCCACCUUUUUAACCCAUGUUGUGUUCCCAAAGUGGCACUGCUGAACCACAAAAUGUUGCAAUAGUCAGCCAAACACAGAUCGGCACGAUGCAAUUUGAAACAAACACUCGCCCUGGCGGUUGUUGCGGAUUUUGAUUCAUCUCCGGCUUCUUUUGCCCUGAUACCCGUGGCACCAUGGUUCUAAGGAGAAACUCAUGCUGGUGCCUAGUUGCUAUAUUAUUCCUUGUUAUUAUGCUCAUUAAUAUUCUCCUUAGUACCGAGUCAAUGAUGAAAAGUAAGUACAAGUUCUGUCCUCGUAUUCCGCAGCUAUGCAGUAAUAGUGCGGGUGUUCAUUUACGAGUCGUGUUAGUCCGUUAGCAUUGGUCCAGAGCAGUCAUUAAUAUGCGCAUAUGAUGAAGAAAUGUUAUUUGCUAUUUGCAUAUUGUAGUCAC